This 468-nucleotide ribosomal RNA is filed under the name uncultured bacterium. RNAcentral describes it as "partial 16S ribosomal RNA". It matches the Rfam family "Bacterial small subunit ribosomal RNA", at positions 28 to 507 of the family's 1533-position model. The record is from RNAcentral.
GACGAACGCUGGCGGCGUGCUUAACACAUGCAAGUCGAACGGAAAGGCCCUGCUUUUGUGGGGUGCUCGAGUGGCGAACGGGUGAGUAACACGUGAGUAACCUGCCCUUGACUUUGGGAUAACUUCAGGAAACUGGGGCUAAUACCGGAUAGGAGCUCCUGCUGCAUGGUGGGGGUUGGAAAGUUUCGGCGGUUGGGGAUGGACUCGCGGCUUAUCAGCUUGUUGGUUGGGUAGUGGCUUACCAAGGCUUUGACGGGUAGCCGGGCUGAGAGGGUGACCGGCCACAUUGGGACUGAGAUACGGCCCAGACUCGUACGGGAGGCAGCAGUGGGGAAUAUUGCACAAUGGGCGGAAGCCUGAUGCAGCAACGCCGCGUGCGGGAUGACGGCCUGCGGGUUGUGAACCGCUGUCGCCUGUGACGAAGCGUGAGUGACGGUAAUGGGUAAAGAAGCACCGGCUAACUACGUG